UGCUUUUGAGGAAGGUUUGGUGGCAAAGGUAGAUUUUUAGCCUUAGCAUUUCACAACUGGUGGGCAGAAUUUAGAUGGGCAGAAGCAUUUUAGGAGGAGGCACAGCAUUGAAACCUAGUAAACUGAUGGAUGCUACAAUUGCUAUUAUUAAAGAGGAGCCCUUGAGGUCGUUGGACAAGUGGGUGCCAUGAACAGAAGCUGGCUUUUAGAAGAUUACUCUGACACAUGCAUCUGUGAGGAAGAGGAAAUACUAAGAGUUUUCAGAUUGAGAAAUGGAGGCAUCGAGGUCAAAUCUUUUACCUAAACCACUGAGCAGCAGAGACAGGUUCCUAUCCCAUGUUUCAGUGCUGGAGCAGACCCGUGUGUGUUUGGGAGCAGGGGUAGCUGGAGCUCUUGGAGGCCUCGCAGAGAGAUGGCCUUGCCCAUGAUGAAGUCCUCUGGUGACUCUGCAGGACUGGCUUCGGUCUUCAAAUUGGAUAUUUCCACUGGCACAUAACUAAGCCUCAGUCAAUGGAACUAUACAUCCAUAAGUCUCAGAAAGCAGAAGGAUGGCUUCCUAAAUGAUUUUUCCUUAUGCUAUAUGUGCCAAUAGAUAUCACUAAUACAAUCAGUACAAAUAAAUCAAGUUCUCAGCUUGUUAAUUAAGUUAAAAAUACAGAAGUUUCCUGGUUAUUCUCUCAUCAGUUUCAGAGUGUUCAUGACUUUGAAGUAGGUCUCACCGGACUAGAGUCAACAGCUGUUCUGAUGAAAUAGACGUGGUCCUCCAUUCACCACAAAGGCAGAGGUCAAGACUGACAGCAACUGCGCAUCACCAGGCGGAAAUUGCUAAGUUCUGGAGGCCGGCGCUGAUGCGAGACUGGGGCCUGCUGGAUCUGUCCCUGGUCACAGAGCAGCUGUGCGCUGUCAAAGUGCCGAGCGCUGUUACAGGUUUUUGCAGUUGUUGUUAUUUAAACCUCAAUCUAAAAAUCUAGUUUAAGAAGUGGGAAUGUUUGUGAUACACGUGAAUAAACCAAGGGGAAGAACUCAGAAGUUACAUCAUCCAUGAAGGGUGAAAAUGUGAUGAACUUUCACUGCUCCAAAGCACUAUAGACCAAAAUUUUGCCUGAUGGGAAAACAAUGACACAUCCUUCCUGUUUU
Molecule: long non-coding RNA, 1137 nt
Filed under: Homo sapiens (human)
Lineage: Eukaryota; Metazoa; Chordata; Mammalia; Primates; Hominidae
Description: HSALNT0138507
Source: RNAcentral